Molecule: long non-coding RNA, 518 nt
Organism: Carassius auratus (goldfish)
Lineage: Eukaryota; Metazoa; Chordata; Actinopteri; Cypriniformes; Cyprinidae
Exons: 4
Source: RefSeq, a predicted model, not a curated record
GUGACAAUGGAGAGAUGAGGCGUUCAACAGUAAAUGUUUGAGUCCGUUUCAGAUGAAGAUGCCGAUUUUAAGGAACAACCAAAUGUUUUAAGAUUGGAAAUGGACGCUUCUGAGUGGUGUACUUGUGGAAAUUGUGCACGCAUGGCCCUCGAGAGAGAAAAUAUAUGUUGCAGGGAAAUACCACAGGUCACAAGAAAAAUGAGAAAAGUGCCUAAUACAAAAUCCUGCAUGACAGACCAUCCUGGCCUUGAACCUGUGUGACUCAAUAUAUACUGUAUUCUUUGUAAAAUGCAAUGAAUGAAUGUAGCAAUGAAUGUAUAUAGAGCUGACCAUGGGCGUUACAGUCAGAGGGAUGGAAAGACCCCGUCUUGACUGAAACGUGACACAUGCAGAGCAACAGCUUCUUCCAUGGAAGGUCUGUCAUGCUGAGAAGACCGGUCCGGAGGCACAGGAAUCUGCUGUAUGCCAUCCAGAUAUGGAAGAGGAUCACGGACAACUUCUUCAAAAACAGGAUUCAU